UGUCUGUCAAAGAGAAAUUGUUCUAUAUAUCAUGGUAUAUUCAUAUAAUAGACAAUCAUGGAUCCAUAGAAUGUUAUAGAAAAUCAUUUAAUGGCAUGGAAAAAUGUACCUUAUAUUUUAUUAAGUAAAAAUAACAAGUUAAAAAAUUGCACUCAUAGUAUGGUUAUAUCUUCAUUAUUAAAACUUAAGAUAAAUAUCCUAUGUGUCUGUAAGUCCUAAAUAGAGACAGUCAUGUUUCUUUUACUUUUCUAGUUUAAUAAUCUGAAUCUCAAUCCCUCUAAUCAGAAAGUUCAGUAUCACACUUUUGAAAAGCUACAUCCUCUCCCUACUCCUAUAUUUUGACCUUCCACUUUCUCCAACCAGCAAAAUGUUUCCAAGAACCCAGAAGAUUAUUUACUUCUAAAGGAACUUGCUUCCCAGUGCCAGUCUGAAAGAUUACUAGAAAGCACAAUGACUCCACUACUGCUUUUGACUUUUCUCUGCUGUAAAAUGUUGCUGUUGAAGAACAGUUUUGUCACUGUCUACUCUCAGUGAUGCCCAGGCCAGUUAAGGUCCUUGUAUAGAGCAGAGGGGCCUCCAAGUAGAGUUGAUUGCAACUGAUAGAGCACAAAUUAAAAAGCAAGAGAUUGACAAAUUUUAAAAAAUCAAUACUCGACUAUAUGCUUGCCUAUAAGAAACCUGCUUUAAGUGUAAGACACAGAAAGCUAAAAGUGAAAAAAAUGGAAAACUUAUACUGUAUAUGAUUCCAACUAUGUGACAUUCUGGAUAAGGCAAAACUAUGGAGACAGGGAAAAGAUAAAUGGUCACCAGGGAUUGGAGAGGGGAGGAAUGAGUGGGUGGAACAUAGAUAAUUUUUAGGGCAGUGAAAAUAGUCUGUGUGAUACCAUAAUGGAAAUAUGUCGUGUACAUUUGUCCAAACCCAUAGAAUAGACAAUACCAAGAGUGAACUGUAAUGUAAAUUAUGGAUUUUAGAUGAUUAUAAUGUGUUAAUGUAAGUUCAUUAAUUGUAACAAAUGUCCACUUUGUUGGGAAUGUUGAUAAUGGGGUAGCUUAUGCAUAUGUGGGGUCAGAGGAAGCAAAUGGAUAUCUUU
Molecule: non-coding RNA, 1091 nt
Organism: Vicugna pacos (alpaca)
Lineage: Eukaryota; Metazoa; Chordata; Mammalia; Artiodactyla; Camelidae
Source: RefSeq, a predicted model, not a curated record